RNAcentral lists this ribosomal RNA (263 nucleotides) under uncultured bacterium. RNAcentral's name for it is "partial 16S ribosomal RNA". It matches the Rfam family "Bacterial small subunit ribosomal RNA", at positions 793 to 1055 of the family's 1533-position model. The record is from RNAcentral.
GUCCACGCCCUAAACGAUGCCAACUAGUCGUUCGGAGAGGUAACUUUCUGAGUGACGCAGCUAACGCGUGAAGUUUGCCGCCUGGGGAGUACGGUCGCAAGAUUAAAACUCAAAGGAAUUGACGGGGACCCGCACAAGCGGUGGAUGAUGUGGAUUAAUUCGAUGCAACGCGAAAACCUUACCUACCCUUGACAUGUCUGGAACUUGUGAGAGAUCACUUGGUGCCUUCGGGAGCCAGAACACAGGUGCUGCAUGGCUGUCGU